This 497-nucleotide ribosomal RNA is filed under the name uncultured bacterium. RNAcentral's name for it is "partial 16S ribosomal RNA". It matches the Rfam family "Bacterial small subunit ribosomal RNA", at positions 28 to 507 of the family's 1533-position model. The record is from RNAcentral.
GACGAACGCUGGCGGCGCGCCUAAUACAUGCAAGUUGAGCGAUGAAGCUUGGUGCUUGCACCAAUUUGAAGAGCAGCGAACGGGUGAGUAACGCGUGGGGAAUCUGCCUUUGAGCGGGGGACAACAUUUGGAAACGAAUGCUAAUACCGCAUAACAACUUUAAACAUAAGUUUUAAGUUUGAAAGAUGCAAUUGCAUCACUCAAAGAUGAUCCCGCGUUGUAUUAGCUAGUUGGUGAGGUAAAGGCUCACCAAGGCGAUGAUACAUAGCCGACCUGAGAGGGUGAUCGGCCACAUUGGGACUGAGACACGGCCCAAACUCCUACGGGAGGCAGCAGUAGGGAAUCUUCGGCAAUGGACGAAAGUCUGACCGAGCAACGCCGCGUGAGUGAAGAAGGUUUUCGGAUCGUAAAACUCUGUUGGUAGAGAAGAACGUUGGUGAGAGUGGAAAGCUCAUCAAGUGACGGUAACUACCCAGAAAGGGACGGCUAACUACGUG